AAAAGAAUAAUUGAGUUUCUUAAAAAAAAAAAAAAGGAGAAUAAAAAAGAAUAAAGAGCCAUUAAGCAUGAAAAAUAGUGGCAUCUUCGAAAAAAAAAAAUUAUGAAAAAUAAGUUCUCUAAGUACCUAAUCAACAAUGAAUUGAGCCCCGGUUAUGGUAAUUUUUCAAUAAGGAAGAGUAGUUGAUACCUAACUUCAAUUUAGCCUACUUUUCCCAAAUUUAUCCCACCAUUUACCCAAGCCAAGUUACAACCUUUAAGACCUCAAAAAUGUGUGUCAUGUAUUUACUUUGAUUGACGGUUUAGAAUUUUUUCAAGCUUAUGGUAAAAUAGCAUUUGCAUGUUGAUGGAGUAAAUACCCUGUCAAAAUUGAGUGAAUUAGUGAGUGAGAGAUAAGGUUGAACUUUGAACAUCGUGUGG
This 419-nucleotide long non-coding RNA is filed under the name Trifolium pratense (red clover). Its description in RNAcentral is "long non-coding RNA (TPRA_LNC014112)". The record is from RNAcentral. Lineage: Eukaryota; Viridiplantae; Streptophyta; Magnoliopsida; Fabales; Fabaceae.